This 586-nucleotide ribosomal RNA is filed under the name Escherichia coli. RNAcentral's name for it is "partial 23S ribosomal RNA". It matches the Rfam family "Bacterial large subunit ribosomal RNA", at positions 1291 to 1862 of the family's 2925-position model. Lineage: Bacteria; Pseudomonadati; Pseudomonadota; Gammaproteobacteria; Enterobacterales; Enterobacteriaceae. The record is from RNAcentral.
CGAAUGCUGACAUAAGUAACGAUAAAGCGGGUGAAAAGCCCGCUCGCCGGAAGACCAAGGGUUCCUGUCCAACGUUAAUCGGGGCAGGGUGAGUCGACCCCUAAGGCGAGGCCGAAAGGCGUAGUCGAUGGGAAACAGGUUAAUAUUCCUGUACUUGGUGUUACUGCGAAGGGGGGACGGAGAAGGCUAUGUUGGCCGGGCGACGGUUGUCCCGGUUUAAGCGUGUAGGCUGGUUUUCCAGGCAAAUCCGGAAAAUCAAGGCUGAGGCGUGAUGACGAGGCACUACGGUGCUGAAGCAACAAAUGCCCUGCUUCCAGGAAAAGCCUCUAAGCAUCAGGUAACAUCAAAUCGUACCCCAAACCGACACAGGUGGUCAGGUAGAGAAUACCAAGGCGCUUGAGAGAACUCGGGUGAAGGAACUAGGCAAAAUGGUGCCGUAACUUCGGGAGAAGGCACGCUGAUAUGUAGGUGAAGUCCCUCGCGGAUGGAGCUGAAAUCAGUCGAAGAUACCAGCUGGCUGCAACUGUUUAUUAAAAACACAGCACUGUGCAAACACGAAAGUGGACGUAUACGGUGUGACGCCUGC